Molecule: ribosomal RNA, 105 nt
Filed under: Fusarium proliferatum
Lineage: Eukaryota; Fungi; Ascomycota; Sordariomycetes; Hypocreales; Nectriaceae
Description: partial 5.8S ribosomal RNA
Rfam family: 5.8S ribosomal RNA
About the family: 5.8S ribosomal RNA (5.8S rRNA) is a component of the large subunit of the eukaryotic ribosome. It is transcribed by RNA polymerase I as part of the 45S precursor that also contains 18S and 28S rRNA.
Source: RNAcentral
AUGCGAGAAGUAAUGUGAAUUGCAGAAUUCAGUGAAUCAUCGAAUCUUUGAACGCACAUUGCGCCCGCCAGUAUUCUGGCGGGCAUGCCUGUUCGAGCGUCAUUU